GACGAACGCUGGCGGCGCGCUUAACACAUGCAAGUCGAACGGAAAGGCCUGCUUUCCCUUGUGGAUUGCGGGUACUCGAGUGGCGAACGGGUGAGUAACACGUGAGUGAUCUGCCCCCAACUUGGGUAUAAGCCUGGGAAACUGGGUCUAAUUCCCGAUAGGACUGCAGGGUGGUGCCUGUGGUGGAAAACGAUUUUCUAGUGGUUGGGGAUGAGCUCGCGGCCUAUCAGCUUGUUGGUGGGGUAAUGGCCUACCAAGGCGGCGACGGGUAGCCGGCCUGGGAGGGUGGACGGCCACAUUGGGACUGAGAUACGGCCCAGACUCCUACGGGAGGCAGCAGUGGGGAAUAAGGCACAAUGGGCGGAAGCCUGAUGCAGCGACGCCGCGUGGGGGAUGACGGGCUUCGGGUUGUAAACUCCUUUCGACCGCGAGGAAGCCACCUGGUUGGAAGGGUGGUGACGGUAGUGGUAGAAGAAGCACCGGCUAACUACGUG
RNAcentral lists this ribosomal RNA (494 nucleotides) under uncultured bacterium. RNAcentral describes it as "partial 16S ribosomal RNA". It matches the Rfam family "Bacterial small subunit ribosomal RNA", at positions 28 to 507 of the family's 1533-position model. The record is from RNAcentral.